GGUUUUUCAUUACAUGGUUCUCAUCUUCCACUACUUGAAAGAUAUGAGACACACUUGGGAGACUAAAGUCUUCUAACAUUUAAUGCACUAGAAGACUUCCUGAAAGUUUACUGGUGGAGUUUUCUCAUUUGUCCCUCUUUCAUAACAGAUCUGAGUAUUUUGAUAUGAACCAAGCUUUGGAAGACUCUGACGAAGUCUUCUCUCAUGUCUACUUAUUCAUAAUGGAUCUAAGUGUUUUGGUAAGUUUCUAUGUAUGAUUCUUGUUUCACUCGAUAACCUCUGGUUGCUUAAUUCUCUUACUUUUAUCUCAACCUAAAACUCUCCAACCUCUCUCAAAUCUCUUAGAACUUGAAAACACCAAACUUAUAUCAAUUUAUCAUUUUUUUGUCUCAAUGUGUUUCUCAAUAAUUCAACUUUUUUACAUAUUUUUUAUUACAUGAUUCUCAUCUUCUACUCCUUUAAAGGUAGAUCUAAUUUUUUUGGAUAUGUAUUUUUGUAUGUUCUUUAAAGGUAGAUCUAUCUCAUUUUUCACUCAUUUUCUAUGUUUUAAAGCCAUUUGAACAUUUUUAGAUUUGGUGGUUUUUAACAUUUAAUGAGCUGGAAAACUUCCUGGAAGUCUUAUGACGGAGUCUUUUCUCAUGAUAAGUGGAGUCCACACUUGUCUUUGUGGAGGAAUGAUUUAUAAUAGUUUUUUUAUGGUAUGUUUGGUGGUUUAUAGGUGUACUCUUUUAGUUGUGAAUUCUUUUGUAAAUUUGAAGAGAUAUUAAUGAUUUUUUUUUUGGUAAAUAUGUUCAUGUUUCCAAAAGAUCAAACAUUACACAAGUUCAAACAUUACAUCCCAGAAGACUUCUCAAGAAAACUUAGUCAAAUUCACAAAAGAUCAAAUAUUACAUAAGUUCAAACUUAUAACAGUUUCACUAGAAGUCUCGGAAAACUUAAAUUUAAAGCGGAAAAUUUAAAGCAGAGAAUUAAAAUUUAAGCGGAAAACUCAAAAUUUAAGUGAAAAUUAAAAUUUCAAAUUUCAAGUAAGUUAAAAAGUAAAUCUUAUUAUCUAAGAAAACACAUUAAACCAUAUGACUUGAUAUUCUUGAAGUUACUUAACACUUUUGAAAGUUAAAAAACAUAUCUUAAAUUUACUUUACAAGUUCACAAAAACUAACAUAGAAGACUUUCAUGGACGUCUUCACUUAUUAGCUAAAAAUUUUAAUAAAUAUGAGUGUUGGUAACCUCAUAAAUAUCACCAAAUAAGUUAUUAAAGUUUAAGGGAAAAUGAAAUUUUAUUAAAUAUUGACGUAGAGGACUUUCACAUAAGUCUUCUAGAAGAAAUCGAGAAAGUCUUCUAUUUAGGUCAUUUUUGCAAUUGAAAAUUUACAAAGAAAGACUUCUAGGAAAGCCUACUCUACAACACACUUCUUUGGAAGUCUUCCUUUGUAA
Molecule: long non-coding RNA, 1434 nt
Organism: Brassica napus (rape)
Lineage: Eukaryota; Viridiplantae; Streptophyta; Magnoliopsida; Brassicales; Brassicaceae
Exons: 3
Source: RefSeq, a predicted model, not a curated record